GAAAGAUGGUUCUGCUAUCACUCUUGGAUGGACCUGCGGUGCAUUAGCUAGUUGGUAAGGUAACGGCUUACCAAGGCAAUGAUGCAUAGCCGAGUUGAGAGACUGAUCGGCCACAUUGGGACUGAGACACGGCCCAAACUCCUACGGGAGGCAGCAGUAGGGAAUCUUCCACAAUGGACGAAUGUCUGAUGGAGCAACGCCGCGUGAGUGAAGAAGGGUUUCGGCUCGUAAAGCUCUGUUGGUAGUGAAGAAAGAUAGAGGUAGUAACUGGCCUUUAUUGACGGUAAUUACUUAGAAAGUCACGGCUAACUACGUGCCAGCAGCCGCGGUAAUACGUAGGUGGCAAGCGUUGUCCGGAUUUAUUGGGCGUAAAGCGAGUGCAGGCGGUUCAAUAAGUCUGAUGUGAAAGCCUUCGGCUCAACCGGAGAAUUGCAUCAGAAACUGUUGAACUUGAGUGCAGAAGAGGAGAGUGGAACUCCAUGUGUAGCGGUGGAAUGCGUAGAUAUAUGGAAGAACACCAGUGGCGAAGGCGGCUCUCUGGUCUGCAACUGACGCUGAGGCUCGAAAGCAUGGGUAGCGAACAGGAUUAGAUACCCUGGUAGUCCAUGCCGUAAACGAUGAGUGCUAAGUGUUGGGAGGUUUCCGCCUCUCA
Molecule: ribosomal RNA, 652 nt
Filed under: uncultured bacterium
Lineage: Bacteria
Description: bacterial SSU rRNA
Rfam family: Bacterial small subunit ribosomal RNA
Source: RNAcentral